This 2153-nucleotide ribosomal RNA is filed under the name Ophiocordyceps rubiginosiperitheciata. RNAcentral describes it as "SSU rRNA". It matches the Rfam family "Eukaryotic small subunit ribosomal RNA". The record is from RNAcentral. Lineage: Eukaryota; Fungi; Ascomycota; Sordariomycetes; Hypocreales; Ophiocordycipitaceae.
AGUCAUAUGCUUGUCUCAAAGACUAAGCCAUGCAUGUCUAAGUAUAAGCGAUUAUACAGCGAAACUGCGAAUGGCUCAUUAUAUAAGUUAUCGUUUAUUUGAUAGCACCUUACUACUUGGAUAACCGUGGUAAUUCUAGAGCUAAUACAUGCUGAAAAUCCCGACUCCGGAAGGGAUGUAUUUAUUAGAUUCAAAACCAAUGCCCUCUGGGCUCACUGGUGAUUCAUGAUAACUGCUCGAAUCGCACGGCCUUGCGCCGGCGAUGGUUCAUUCAAAUUUCUUCCCUAUCAACUUUCGAUGUUUGGGUAGUGGCCAAACAUGGUUGCAACGGGUAACGGAGGGUUAGGGCUCGACCCCGGAGAAGGAGCCUGAGAAACGGCUACUACAUCCAAGGAAGGCAGCAGGCGCGCAAAUUACCCAAUCCCGACACGGGGAGGUAGUGACAAUAAAUACUGAUACAGGGCUCUUUUGGGUCUUGUAAUUGGAAUGAGUACAAUUUAAAUCCCUUAACGAGGAACAAUUGGAGGGCAAGUCUGGUGAACGUUGCUGGUGCCAGAGAUAGCCACCCUCGCUAAACAACCGGCUAGUCGAGCGCUCGUCGAGUGACGGGGGAGCGCCGGCGAGACAACCUGGAUCGGGGAAGGCUAAGGGCCGAAGGGCCUAUGCUGAUCCCGAGCAGAGCCGCCCGCGGGUGGCCUGUGUAGAGCGCGCAAAGGUGUCGGUCCUACGAUCAGUAGGGCUUAAGGUACGUGCCAACCCCCCGCGAAAGCGGGGCCCCGCGGAGAAGCACCCGUCGUGCGAAGCCGCGUGGGGACCUCGGCAGGGACAUCCCCGAGUAGAGGUAGCAAACACAGCAGCGAGUCCGGCUCUUGGAACUCAAGCCCCGGUGGCGCCUUGAGUUCUUCGACGCCUGGCCUCGCCUGCCAGUGUUGCAAACAAUGGCCAGCAGCCGCGGUAAUUCCAGCUCCAAUAGCGUAUAUUAAAGUUGUUGUGGUUAAAAAGCUCGUAGUUGAACCUUGGGCCUGGCUGGCCGGUCCGCCUCACCGCGUGUACUGGUCCGGCCGGGCCUUUCCCUCUGUGGAACCCCAUGCCCUUCACUGGGCGUGGCGGGGAAACAGGACUUUUACUUUGAAAAAAUUAGAGUGCUCCAGGCAGGCCUAUGCUCGAAUACAUUAGCAUGGAAUAAUGAAAUAGGACGCGCGGUUCUAUUUUGUUGGUUUCUAGGACCGCCGUAAUGAUUAAUAGGGACAGUCGGGGGCAUCAGUAUUCAAUAGUCAGAGGUGAAAUUCUUGGAUCUAUUGAAGACUAACUACUGCGAAAGCAUUUGUCAAGGAUGUUUUCAUUAAUCAGGAACGAAAGUUAGGGGAUCGAAGACGAUCAGAUACCGUCGUAGUCUUAACCAUAAACUAUGCCGACUAGGGAUCGGACGAUGUUAUUUUUUGACUCGUUCGGCACCUUACGAGAAAUCAAAGUGCUUGGGCUCCAGGGGGAGUAUGGUCGCAAGGCUGAAACUUAAAGAAAUUGACGGAAGGGCACCACCAGGGGUGGAGCCUGCGGCUUAAUUUGACUCAACACGGGGAAACUCACCAGGUCCAGACACAAUGAGGAUUGACAGAUUGAGAGCUCUUUCUUGAUUUUGUGGGUGGUGGUGCAUGGCCGUUCUUAGUUGGUGGAGUGAUUUGUCUGCUUAAUUGCGAUAACGAACGAGACCUUAACCUGCUAAAUAGCCCGCAUUGCUUUGGCAGUGCGCCGGCUUCUUAGAGGGACUAUCGGCUCAAGCCGAUGGAAGUUUGAGGCAAUAACAGGUCUGUGAUGCCCUUAGAUGUUCUGGGCCGCACGCGCGCUACACUGACGGAGCCAGCGAGUACUCCCUUGGCCGGAAGGCCCGGGUAAUCUUGUUAAACUCCGUCGUGCUGGGGAUAGAGCAUUGCAAUUAUUGCUCUUCAACGAGGAAUCCCUAGUAAGCGCAAGUCAUCAGCUUGCGUUGACUACGUCCCUGCCCUUUGUACACACCGCCCGUCGCUACUACCGAUUGAAUGGCUCAGUGAGGCGUCCGGACUGGCCCAGAGAGGUGGGCAACUACCACUCAGGGCCGGAAAGCUCUCCAAACUCGGUCAUUUAGAGGAAGUAAAAGUCGUAACAAGGUCUCCGUU